RNAcentral lists this ribosomal RNA (452 nucleotides) under uncultured soil bacterium. RNAcentral describes it as "bacterial SSU rRNA". It matches the Rfam family "Bacterial small subunit ribosomal RNA", at positions 26 to 518 of the family's 1533-position model. The record is from RNAcentral.
AGAACGAACGCUGGCGGCAUGCCUAAUACAUGCAAGUCGAACGAACUCUUCGGAGUUAGUGGCGCACGGGUGCGUAACGCGUGGAAUCUGCCCUUGGGUUCGGAAUAACAGUUGGAAACGACUGCUAAUACCGGAUGAUGACGAAAGUCCAAAGAUUUAUCGCCCAGGGAUGAGCCCGCGUAGGAUUAGCUAGUUGGUGAGGUAAAGGCUCACCAAGGUGACGAUCCUUAGCUGGUCUGAGAGGAUGAUCAGCCACACUGGGACUGAGACACGGCCCAGACUCCUACGGGAGGCAGCAGUAGGGAAUAUUGGACAAUGGGCGAAAGCCUGAUCCAGCAAUGCCGCGUGAGUGAUGAAGGCUUAGGUUGUAAAGCUCUUUACCGAGAUGAUAAGUGACAAGUAUACGGGAAGAAGUAACGACCCCGGACUAACCGUCCGCGCCAAGCAGCCGC